Thamnophis elegans (Western terrestrial garter snake) is the source of this 1999-nucleotide long non-coding RNA. RefSeq lists it as uncharacterized. The record is from RefSeq and is a predicted model, not a curated record. NCBI's taxonomy places the organism in Eukaryota, Metazoa, Chordata, Lepidosauria, Squamata, Natricidae. The transcript has 4 exons.
AAGCGGCGUAGGCUCCCCUUUCGUGUCGGUUUUCAAACGCUCCCUCUUCCUCCUUCGGUCCGAGAAUGAAUGAAAUGACGUCACGCUCAGGCGAACGCCAGCAGCCAAAGGAUCAAAGUGCGCAGUCGGAUGCGGGCGGCGUAGCUUUAAGUCACAAACUGCAAUUAUUUCCUAGCUAGCUGGAAGCCAAUUUUCAGGGGGUGGGUGGAUAAAGUUGUAAUAGCGCCCACGUGCUUCUACGGAUUGAGGGUGUGGUGAGGUUUUUUGUUUUUUGGGGUGGGUGGGUAAGGCGGUAGCCACCAGCAAAUCGCCUUGCUCGCCUGAUUUUUAUGAGCCUCUGGGGAGUUUACCGUACAGGGCAGAAUGCGGCCGCCUCUUAAAAAAUGCAUCCAAUUUGGUGCCCUCCAAGUCUUUUGCGAGUGCAAUUAUCUAAAUUCUCAAAGGCCAACGAGGCCAAAGGACAAGUUGAGAAUGACCAGAGUUGUCGUUUCAGUAUAUUUGGAAGACUUCAGAUGAAAUCGAGGAUGGUCAUACUGUGUUCGAUAUACCGUAUUUUUCAGACUAUAAGAAACACCGGUGUAUAAGAUGCACCAAGAUUUCGGAGAGAUGCCUGUUCCCAAUAUGAAUGACUACGAAAAAAUGGAUUACAUAGAGAAAUAACCUAAUCUGGUUUAAGACCAAACCAGACUGCUUCUAGGGAAACUACAAUUUUGUGGGACUCUUUAAGAGCUAAAUAAUUAGCAUCCUGCAUAAAAUAAGUAGUAAAACCUGUUUAUUCUGAAGAGUACAUUGUGUGACACCAAUGUGGUAAGUAAAAUUUCAAGGGCAGAAUGAUGACAGAAGAGAUACAUUAUUUUGAAUAUUUGCUUGUCUGAACAGGUUUGUAGAACCUAAAAUUAUUAGUAAGUAAAAAGAUGGUGCCUCCAAAGUUUUCUAUACUGACAACAUAACUUGACACAUAUAAGAAUACUCAAGUGGAUUGAAGUUCUAACACUUUUUUUGAAUAAAUGUUUGGGUAAAACUAAAUUUUACUUGUUUCAUAAACAUGCAGUAUUCUGAACAAGGCUAUAUAUACACAGAUAGAUAACAGAAUAAAGAUUUAACUACUGUAGCAGUUAGAAAAAAAAUGCACUCCUUUGUAGGCAUCAGUGUGGAUUCAUCAAAAUAACCUUGUCCCUUUUAGGCAGUGUGCCUAAUUUAUUUGAUCACAACAAUAUAAAUACAUUGGUUUUGGCAAAAUAUUUAUUUAUUUAUUUAUUUCAGGGGUGUCAUACUCGAUUUCAUUGAGGGCUUGUGUUUAACCUCAGGGGACGAGUGGGCGUGGCCAGGGUGGGCGUUGUCCCUCGUGGCAGGGGCGCCUGUGAUGGCCCAAGCACUCUGCCAGCGAAAACGGGCUCCCAAGCCCCAUUUCCAGCUGCAGUGGCCUCUUGCAACCCUCUGCCACACACCAAACGGGAUUCUGUUUUCACUGGCCGAAGCACCGCGGGCCAAUUCUGUUUCCAGGAUAGCCCUGCUGACCAGAUCUAAGCACCCUGCGGGCUGCAUUUGGCCCCCAGGCCUUGAGUUUGACACUCCUGGUUUAUUUAUUCAAUUUCUAAACUACCCCCAUCUCAGUCUGGGAGACUUAGAUUCAGAAAAGAAACAAAUAUUACAAUUAAAAAUACUAAUAAAAUUUUAAAACAAUAAAAACACUAAACAUUCAGAUUAAUAGUUGAAAAUCUCUCAUGAUAUUCUCAUAGAGAAGAUGGCAUAAUGGAUGCUAAACUAUGCUAUGAUUAGCUGAACAUCCAUAUCAUUGUAUUUACAAUUCUACAGGAAGCUAAGGGGAAGUGUUAAGUGUUGAACUGACUGUAUUCAGAAGACAGCAAGAGAAGUGAUGAAGGACCCAAAAGGAAACACUUAUAAGACUAACACAUUUGGAAGGGAUCGUGUAGGUCAUCUAGUCCAACCCCCUGCCCAAACAGGAGACUCUACACCAUUUAUGAAAUUUAUGUCUCUU